GUGGCGUCAUGACGACUGCGCAUGACAACGAAACAUCCCUCCUCUCUACUUUAUCCGCCAGCUGACCGUCUGACUGGUUUGUGAAGCAACUUAAUAAUAAAUAAGUUCGAUUCGACGCUGUUACUUAUCAAAUUAGACCAACUAUGUGUUUCAAUUGGACGUUCUUUGUUUCAUGAUAUUUCGAUAAUGUCGUCGACGUUUGUUUCGAUUACGUGAACUGAUAACGUGACUGAAAGAUUUUAGAAUGACCUGAUUUGAAGACUAGAUAAUAUUCGAAGCGGGAUCAUUGUUCUCCAAGAGGGUACGCGAUAUAAGAGCUGCCAGGUCCGUAACGAAUAAGAAAAAAUAAUUUGGUUGAUGAGUUACCUGGUCCAUCGUGCAGCAAUCAGAUGUUGCCAAAUCUAGACGACGACGAAAUUUGUGUUUGUCCAAUUGUUGCCCAAGCUCGACGUUCUUCAACGCCCAGUCAUGGGACUUAAGCCUUGAGCAAAAACAGAAAAGGAAACGCCAAGCAAGAUUUUACUAAGAAUGUUCUCCAGUAUCAAAGAUUUCAAUACCGUUAUAUAAGAGAGGAAAACAAUCGGCUGCUAUAUUAACUUCCAAGAAAAACAUCGCUAAUAAGAAAACUGAAGGGAAAGCUACUUCCAACUUAUCAUGCAAAAAUAAACGUAAUGCAACUCCUAACAUACCUUUAAAAUGUACCAAACGAACCAGAAAAUUGCCGAAAAAACAUCUAGAUUUAGAUUCAGGGGAAACAAAUCUUACUCAACAGUCUAAUGAUUCUUUCGUAGAAAAUAAAUAUAAUGUUGGUAAAAAAGAAACAAGAGUAGAGAAAGUCGAAAAGUUGACAUUAAAAGGAAGAAAUCAGACUAAAAUUGGAAUUACUCAACUUGUGAAUUCAAAUGAGUCAGACUCUUUUUCAAAACGCUACAAAUACCACGCCACAAGAACAGGUGGUCUACCAUGAAAUGUAAUUCCGAAUUUUCGGGCUCGAUUUCGUGUUUUUGUUCGUACCGAAAUCGACCCAGUAAAUGGAGCUUAACAUUUCGUUCAUGAUAAAUCCUAAUAGUCCAGAUAAACGAUAUUUUAACAUUUUUAAUACUCGUAAUUUCAAAUGACAUGUCUUAUGUAAUUUUAACAUCAAAUUUCUGUUUCGUUCAUCCUCGAAAUUUCGAAAAAUAUUUCAUGGUAGGCCCUCAAGUGACUCUUAUACGCCAAUACUUCCUGCUUUCAUGCUCACCACGGCGAAUUUUCCCACAAAAUUAUUCAAUGAGCUGAUUAUAUACCUAUAGAAUUCAUGACAUACAUAUACAGAAUUCAUGGGAUUUAAAAAAAGUAUUUGAAAACUACAAAACCAACCUGUGGAGUGGGUGUAAAAGUAGUAGUUUCAAAUACAACUAUUUUAUGAUUAACUUAUUCAAAUUAAAUUAUUCCAUUAUUUUUCAAAAGGAACACAAUGUGUAAAUUAAAUAAAACAACUGCAUAUAUUGUCUUUAUAUUUAUUUCCCCAAUAGAACUUUUGUCUCGCCUUGUCUCAGAUUUAGAAUGUUAAUAUAAAAAAAAAAAAAUAAAGUAUAAAUCCACUUAAAUAAUAAAUGGUCUC
Long non-coding RNA from Galleria mellonella (greater wax moth), 1603 nucleotides. RefSeq lists it as uncharacterized. The transcript has 4 exons. The record is from RefSeq and is a predicted model, not a curated record. Lineage: Eukaryota; Metazoa; Arthropoda; Insecta; Lepidoptera; Pyralidae.